UACGUAGGGUGCGAGCGUUAAUCGGAAUUACUGGGCGUAAAGCGUGCGCAGGCGGUUCGGAAAGAAAGAUGUGAAAUCCCAGAGCUUAACUUUGGAACUGCAUUUUUAACUCCCGGGCUAGAGUGUGUCAGAGGGGGGUAGAAUUCCACGUGUAGCAGUGAAAUGCGUAGAGAUGUGGAGGAAUACCGAUGGCGAAGGCAGCCCCCUGGGACAACACUGACGCUCAGGCACGAAAGCGUGGGGAGCAAACAGG
Molecule: ribosomal RNA, 253 nt
Filed under: uncultured bacterium
Lineage: Bacteria
Description: partial 16S ribosomal RNA
Rfam family: Bacterial small subunit ribosomal RNA
Source: RNAcentral